This 467-nucleotide ribosomal RNA is filed under the name uncultured bacterium. Its description in RNAcentral is "bacterial SSU rRNA". It matches the Rfam family "Bacterial small subunit ribosomal RNA", at positions 27 to 507 of the family's 1533-position model. The record is from RNAcentral.
CGGACGAACGCUGGCGGCGUGCUUAAAACAUGCAAGUCGAACGGACUUCUCAUGAAGCUUGCGAUUGAGAAGUUAGUGGCGGACGGGUGAGUAACGCGUGGGCAACCUGCCCCUGAGCCCGGGAUAACAGUUCGAAAGGACUGCUAAGACCGGAUAUACUUGCGGUGAAGCAUUUCACUGCAAGGAAAGGGAACGCUCAGGGAUGGGCCCGCGUCCCAUUAGCUAGUUGGUGAGGUAACGGCCCACCAAGGCGACGAUGGGUAGCCGGCCUGAGAGGGUGAACGGCCACACUGGGACUGAGACACGGCCCAGACUCCUACGGGAGGCAGCAGUUGGGAAUCUUCGGCAAUGGGCGCAAGCCUGACCGAGCAACGCCGCGUGAGUGAUGAAGGUUUUCGGAUUGUAAAGCUCUGUCUUCCGGGACGAUAAUGACGGUACCGGAGGAGGAAGCCACGGCUAACUACGUG